Molecule: ribosomal RNA, 253 nt
Filed under: uncultured bacterium
Lineage: Bacteria
Description: partial 16S ribosomal RNA
Rfam family: Bacterial small subunit ribosomal RNA
Source: RNAcentral
AGAGUUUGAUCAUGGCUCAGAACGAACGCUGGCGGCGUGCCUAACACAUGCAAGUCGAACGGGAUUAAGGGGCUUGCUCCUUAAUCUAGUGGCGCACGGGUGAGUAACGCGUAGAUAAUCUGCCUGAUGAUCUGGAAUAACAUCCCGAAAGGGGUGCUAAUACCUGAUAAGCCCACGAUGGCCUUGGUCGUUGCGGGAAAAGGGGGGGACCUUUUGGCCUUCCGUCAUCAGAUGAGUCUGCGUACCAUUAGCU